Molecule: ribosomal RNA, 2904 nt
Filed under: Escherichia coli
Lineage: Bacteria; Pseudomonadati; Pseudomonadota; Gammaproteobacteria; Enterobacterales; Enterobacteriaceae
Description: 23S ribosomal RNA
Rfam family: Bacterial large subunit ribosomal RNA
Source: RNAcentral
GGUUAAGCGACUAAGCGUACACGGUGGAUGCCCUGGCAGUCAGAGGCGAUGAAGGACGUGCUAAUCUGCGAUAAGCGUCGGUAAGGUGAUAUGAACCGUUAUAACCGGCGAUUUCCGAAUGGGGAAACCCAGUGUGUUUCGACACACUAUCAUUAACUGAAUCCAUAGGUUAAUGAGGCGAACCGGGGGAACUGAAACAUCUAAGUACCCCGAGGAAAAGAAAUCAACCGAGAUUCCCCCAGUAGCGGCGAGCGAACGGGGAGCAGCCCAGAGCCUGAAUCAGUGUGUGUGUUAGUGGAAGCGUCUGGAAAGGCGCGCGAUACAGGGUGACAGCCCCGUACACAAAAAUGCACAUGCUGUGAGCUCGAUGAGUAGGGCGGGACACGUGGUAUCCUGUCUGAAUAUGGGGGGACCAUCCUCCAAGGCUAAAUACUCCUGACUGACCGAUAGUGAACCAGUACCGUGAGGGAAAGGCGAAAAGAACCCCGGCGAGGGGAGUGAAAAAGAACCUGAAACCGUGUACGUACAAGCAGUGGGAGCACGCUUCGGCGUGUGACUGCGUACCUUUUGUAUAAUGGGUCAGCGACUUAUAUUCUGUAGCAAGGUUAACCGAAUAGGGGAGCCGAAGGGAAACCGAGUCUUAACUGGGCGUUAAGUUGCAGGGUAUAGACCCGAAACCCGGUGAUCUAGCCAUGGGCAGGUUGAAGGUUGGGUAACACUAACUGGAGGACCGAACCGACUAAUGUUGAAAAAUUAGCGGAUGACUUGUGGCUGGGGGUGAAAGGCCAAUCAAACCGGGAGAUAGCUGGUUCUCCCCGAAAGCUAUUUAGGUAGCGCCUCGUGAAUUCAUCUCCGGGGGUAGAGCACUGUUUCGGCAAGGGGGUCAUCCCGACUUACCAACCCGAUGCAAACUGCGAAUACCGGAGAAUGUUAUCACGGGAGACACACGGCGGGUGCUAACGUCCGUCGUGAAGAGGGAAACAACCCAGACCGCCAGCUAAGGUCCCAAAGUCAUGGUUAAGUGGGAAACGAUGUGGGAAGGCCCAGACAGCCAGGAUGUUGGCUUAGAAGCAGCCAUCAUUUAAAGAAAGCGUAAUAGCUCACUGGUCGAGUCGGCCUGCGCGGAAGAUGUAACGGGGCUAAACCAUGCACCGAAGCUGCGGCAGCGACGCUUAUGCGUUGUUGGGUAGGGGAGCGUUCUGUAAGCCUGUGAAGGUGUGCUGUGAGGCAUGCUGGAGGUAUCAGAAGUGCGAAUGCUGACAUAAGUAACGAUAAAGCGGGUGAAAAGCCCGCUCGCCGGAAGACCAAGGGUUCCUGUCCAACGUUAAUCGGGGCAGGGUGAGUCGACCCCUAAGGCGAGGCCGAAAGGCGUAGUCGAUGGGAAACAGGUUAAUAUUCCUGUACUUGGUGUUACUGCGAAGGGGGGACGGAGAAGGCUAUGUUGGCCGGGCGACGGUUGUCCCGGUUUAAGCGUGUAGGCUGGUUUUCCAGGCAAAUCCGGAAAAUCAAGGCUGAGGCGUGAUGACGAGGCACUACGGUGCUGAAGCAACAAAUGCCCUGCUUCCAGGAAAAGCCUCUAAGCAUCAGGUAACAUCAAAUCGUACCCCAAACCGACACAGGUGGUCAGGUAGAGAAUACCAAGGCGCUUGAGAGAACUCGGGUGAAGGAACUAGGCAAAAUGGUGCCGUAACUUCGGGAGAAGGCACGCUGAUAUGUAGGUGAAGUCCCUCGCGGAUGGAGCUGAAAUCAGUCGAAGAUACCAGCUGGCUGCAACUGUUUAUUAAAAACACAGCACUGUGCAAACACGAAAGUGGACGUAUACGGUGUGACGCCUGCCCGGUGCCGGAAGGUUAAUUGAUGGGGUCAGCGCAAGCGAAGCUCUUGAUCGAAGCCCCGGUAAACGGCGGCCGUAACUAUAACGGUCCUAAGGUAGCGAAAUUCCUUGUCGGGUAAGUUCCGACCUGCACGAAUGGCGUAAUGAUGGCCAGGCUGUCUCCACCCGAGACUCAGUGAAAUUGAACUCGCUGUGAAGAUGCAGUGUACCCGCGGCAAGACGGAAAGACCCCGUGAACCUUUACUAUAGCUUGACACUGAACAUUGAGCCUUGAUGUGUAGGAUAGGUGGGAGGCUUUGAAGUGUAGACGCCAGUCUGCAUGGAGCCGACCUUGAAAUACCACCCUUUAAUGUUUGAUGUUCUAACGUUGACCCGUAAUCCGGGUUGCGGACAGUGUCUGGUGGGUAGUUUGACUGGGGCGGUCUCCUCCUAAAGAGUAACGGAGGAGCACGAAGGUUGGCUAAUCCUGGUCGGACAUCAGGAGGUUAGUGCAAUGGCAUAAGCCAGCUUGACUGCGAGCGUGACGGCGCGAGCAGGUGCGAAAGCAGGUCAUAGUGAUCCGGUGGUUCUGAAUGGAAGGGCCAUCGCUCAACGGAUAAAAGGUACUCCGGGGAUAACAGGCUGAUACCGCCCAAGAGUUCAUAUCGACGGCGGUGUUUGGCACCUCGAUGUCGGCUCAUCACAUCCUGGGGCUGAAGUAGGUCCCAAGGGUAUGGCUGUUCGCCAUUUAAAGUGGUACGCGAGCUGGGUUUAGAACGUCGUGAGACAGUUCGGUCCCUAUCUGCCGUGGGCGCUGGAGAACUGAGGGGGGCUGCUCCUAGUACGAGAGGACCGGAGUGGACGCAUCACUGGUGUUCGGGUUGUCAUGCCAAUGGCACUGCCCGGUAGCUAAAUGCGGAAGAGAUAAGUGCUGAAAGCAUCUAAGCACGAAACUUGCCCCGAGAUGAGUUCUCCCUGACCCUUUAAGGGUCCUGAAGGAACGUUGAAGACGACGACGUUGAUAGGCCGGGUGUGUAAGCGCAGCGAUGCGUUGAGCUAACCGGUACUAAUGAACCGUGAGGCUUAACCUU